UUUAAUUGAAGAGUUUGAUCAUGGCUCAGAUUGAACGCUGGCGGCAGGCUUAACACAUGCAAGUCGAGCGGUAGCACAGGGGAGCUUGCUCCCUGGGUGACGAGCGGCGGACGGGUGAGUAAUGUCUGGGAAACUGCCUGAUGGAGGGGGAUAACUACUGGAAACGGUAGCUAAUACCGCAUAACGUCGCAAGACCAAAGAGGGGGACCUUCGGGCCUCUUGCCAUCAGAUGUGCCCAGAUGGGAUUAGCUAGUAGGUGGGGUAAUGGCUCACCUAGGCGACGAUCCCUAGCUGGUCUGAGAGGAUGACCAGCCACACUGGAACUGAGACACGGUCCAGACUCCUACGGGAGGCAGCAGUGGGGAAUAUUGCACAAUGGGCGCAAGCCUGAUGCAGCCAUGCCGCGUGUGUGAAGAAGGCCUUCGGGUUGUAAAGCACUUUCAGCGAGGAGGAAGGUGGUGAGCUUAAUACGCUCAUCAAUUGACGUUACUCGCAGAAGAAGCACCGGCUAACUCCGUGCCAGCAGCCGCGGUAAUACGGAGGGUGCAAGCGUUAAUCGGAAUUACUGGGCGUAAAGCGCACGCAGGCGGUUUGUUAAGUCAGAUGUGAAAUCCCCGGGCUCAACCUGGGAACUGCAUUUGAAACUGGCAAGCUAGAGUCUCGUAGAGGGGGGUAGAAUUCCAGGUGUAGCGGUGAAAUGCGUAGAGAUCUGGAGGAAUACCGGUGGCGAAGGCGGCCCCCUGGACGAAGACUGACGCUCAGGUGCGAAAGCGUGGGGAGCAAACAGGAUUAGAUACCCUGGUAGUCCACGCUGUAAACGAUGUCGAUUUGGAGGUUGUGCCCUUGAGGCGUGGCUUCCGGAGCUAACGCGUUAAAUCGACCGCCUGGGGAGUACGGCCGCAAGGUUAAAACUCAAAUGAAUUGACGGGGGCCCGCACAAGCGGUGGAGCAUGUGGUUUAAUUCGAUGCAACGCGAAGAACCUUACCUACUCUUGACAUCCAGAGAACUUUCCAGAGAUGGAUUGGUGCCUUCGGGAACUCUGAGACAGGUGCUGCAUGGCUGUCGUCAGCUCGUGUUGUGAAAUGUUGGGUUAAGUCCCGCAACGAGCGCAACCCUUAUCCUUUGUUGCCAGCGGUUCGGCCGGGAACUCAAAGGAGACUGCCAGUGAUAAACUGGAGGAAGGUGGGGAUGACGUCAAGUCAUCAUGGCCCUUACGAGUAGGGCUACACACGUGCUACAAUGGCAUAUACAAAGAGAAGCGACCUCGCGAGAGCAAGCGGACCUCAUAAAGUAUGUCGUAGUCCGGAUUGGAGUCUGCAACUCGACUCCAUGAAGUCGGAAUCGCUAGUAAUCGUAGAUCAGAAUGCUACGGUGAAUACGUUCCCGGGCCUUGUACACACCGCCCGUCACACCAUGGGAGUGGGUUGCAAAAGAAGUAGGUAGCUUAACCUUCGGGAGGGCGCUUACCACUUUGUGAUUCAUGACUGGGGUGAAGUCGUAACAAGGUAACCGUAGGGGAACCUGCGGUUGGAUCACCUCCUUACCUAAAGA
This 1552-nucleotide ribosomal RNA is filed under the name Serratia marcescens. RNAcentral describes it as "bacterial SSU rRNA". It matches the Rfam family "Bacterial small subunit ribosomal RNA". Lineage: Bacteria; Pseudomonadati; Pseudomonadota; Gammaproteobacteria; Enterobacterales; Yersiniaceae. The record is from RNAcentral.